GGUGUGAGGCAGGUUGUGGGGCAAGUGAGCAGAGCUGGAUGGGUGUGGGGCAGGCUGUGGGGCAGGUGAGCACAGCUGGAUGAGUGUGUGGUAGGUUGUGGGGCUGGUGAGCACAGCUGGAUGGGUGUGCAUUAGGUGAGCACAGCUGACGGGUGCGGGGCGGGUGCUGUGGCCGGUCCGGGACAUUCCGGUAUUUAUAGCCCAAAUAAACGGUGCCACCGGCACCAAAGACC
Pezoporus occidentalis (night parrot) is the source of this 233-nucleotide long non-coding RNA. RefSeq lists it as uncharacterized. The record is from RefSeq and is a predicted model, not a curated record. NCBI's taxonomy places the organism in Eukaryota, Metazoa, Chordata, Aves, Psittaciformes, Psittacidae. The transcript has 2 exons.